This 1924-nucleotide ribosomal RNA is filed under the name human gut metagenome. RNAcentral describes it as "bacterial LSU rRNA". It matches the Rfam family "Bacterial large subunit ribosomal RNA", at positions 911 to 2856 of the family's 2925-position model. The record is from RNAcentral.
UGAAUGUCCUAGGGGGUAUUGCACUUACCGAAGACUAUCAAACUCCGAAUGCCGUUUUCUUUUACUUGGGAGUCAGACUGUGGGUGAUAAGAUUCAUAGUCAAAAGGGCAACAGCCCAGAUCGUCAGCUAAGGUCCCUAAAUGUACGUUAAGUGGUAAAGGAUGUGGGAUUGCACAGACAACCAGGAUGUUGGCUUAGAAGCAGCCACUCAUUUAAAGAGUGCGUAAUAGCUCACUGGUCGAGUGAUCCUGCGCCGAAAAUUUCCGGGGCUAAAACGUACUACCGAAGCUACGGCAUCAUUUAUGAUGGGUAGGGGAGCUUCGUAUGCAGGCUGAAGCAUGACCGUAAGGACAUGUGGACAGUAUACGAGUGAGAAUGUUGGCAUGAGUAGCGAGACGUGGGUGAGAAUCCCACGGGCCGUAAACCCAAGGUUUCCAGGGGAAGGUUCGUCCGCCCUGGGUUAGUCGGGACCUAAGCCGAGGCCGAAAGGCGUAGGUGAUGGACAACAGGUUGAUAUUCCUGUACCGCCAAUAAGCGUUUGAGAGAUGGAGUGACACAGUAGGAUAAGCUAACCGUACUGUUGGUUAUGUACGGCUAAGCAUUGAGGCAGUCUAAAUAGGCAAAUCCGUUUAGACAAUGCUAGGAUGUGAUGGGGAAGCCCUUCGGGGCGAAGUAGCUGAUUUCACACUGUCAAGAAAAGCUUCUAUCGAGUUUAAAGGCGCCCGUACCGUAAACCGACACAGGUGGGUGAGGAGAGUAUCCUAAGGCCAGCGAGAGAACUAUUGUUAAGGAACUCGGCAAAAUGACCCCGUAACUUAGGGAGAAGGGGUGCCUGUCUAUGACAGGCCGCAGAGAAUAGGCCCAAGCGACUGUUUACCAAAAACACAGGUUUCUGCUAAGUCGCAAGACGAUGUAUAGGAGCUGACGCCUGCCCGGUGCUGGAAGGUUAAGGGGAUCUGUUAGAGCAAUCGAAGCAGUGAACUUAAGCCCCAGUAAACGGCGGCCGUAACUAUAACGGUCCUAAGGUAGCGAAAUUCCUUGUCGGGUAAGUUCCGACCCGCACGAAAGGCGUAACGAUUUGGGCACUGUCUCAACAACAGACUCGGUGAAAUUGUAAUACCGGUGAAGAUGCCGGUUACCUGCGACAGGACGGAAAGACCCCAUGGAGCUUUACUGUAGCUUGACGUUGGGUCUUGGUACUACAUGUACAGGAUAGGUGGGAGACUAUGAAGCAUGGACGCCAGUCUGUGUGGAGUCAUCCUUGGGAUACCACCCUUGUAGUACUGGGAUCCUAACCAUAGGCCUUGAAUCAGGUCUUGGAACACCGUCAGGUGGGCAGUUUGACUGGGGCGGUCGCCUCCUAAAAAGUAACGGAGGCGCUCAAAGGUUUCCUCAGCACGGUCGGAAAUCGUGCGAAGAGUGUAAAGGCAAAAGGAAGCUUGAUUGCAAGACAUACAGGUCGAGCAAGGACGAAAGUCGGACUUAGUGAUCCGGUGGUUCCGCAUGGAAGGGCCAUCGCUCAACGGAUAAAAGCUACCCUGGGGAUAACAGGCUUAUCUCCCCCAAGAGUCCACAUCGACGGGGAGGUUUGGCACCUCGAUGUCGGCUCAUCACAUCCUGGGGCUGUAUUCGGUCCCAAGGGUUCGGCUGUUCGCCGAUUAAAGUGGUACGCGAGCUGGGUUCAGAACGUCGUGAGACAGUUCGGUCCCUAUCCGUCGCAGGCGUAGGAAAUUUGAGGAGACCUGUCCUUAGUACGAGAGGACCGGGAUGGACGUACCUCUGGUGUACCAGUUGUUCUGCCAAGGGCAUGGCUGGGUAGCUAUGUACGGAAUGGAUAAGCGCUGAAAGCAUCUAAGCGCGAAGCCAACUUCAAGAUAAGAUUUCCCACCGUAAGGGUAAGACCCCAGGAAGACUACCUGGUUGA